This 73-nucleotide transfer RNA is filed under the name Phycisphaerae bacterium. Its description in RNAcentral is "tRNA-Thr". It matches the Rfam family "tRNA". From Rfam's summary of the family: Transfer RNA (tRNA) molecules are approximately 80 nucleotides in length. Their secondary structure includes four short double-helical elements and three loops (D, anti-codon, and T loops). Lineage: Bacteria; Pseudomonadati; Planctomycetota; Phycisphaerae. RNAcentral also lists the same sequence under 2 other names. The record is from RNAcentral.
GCCGCCGUAGCUCAGUUGGUAGAGCAGCGGUUUUGUAAACCGCAGGUCGUCGGUUCGAGUCCGACCGGUGGCU